This 268-nucleotide ribosomal RNA is filed under the name Staphylococcus aureus. RNAcentral describes it as "partial 16S ribosomal RNA". It matches the Rfam family "Bacterial small subunit ribosomal RNA", at positions 1 to 257 of the family's 1533-position model. Lineage: Bacteria; Bacillati; Bacillota; Bacilli; Caryophanales; Staphylococcaceae. The record is from RNAcentral.
UUUUAUGGAGAGUUUGAUCCUGGCUCAGGAUGAACGCUGGCGGCGUGCCUAAUACAUGCAAGUCGAGCGAACGGACGAGAAGCUUGCUUCUCUGAUGUUAGCGGCGGACGGGUGAGUAACACGUGGAUAACCUACCUAUAAGACUGGGAUAACUUCGGGAAACCGGAGCUAAUACCGGAUAAUAUUUUGAACCGCAUGGUUCAAAAGUGAAAGACGGUCUUGCUGUCACUUAUAGAUGGAUCCGCGCUGCAUUAGCUAGUUGGUAAGG